UGGGGUGUAGCUCAGAAGUAGAGCUUAUCUAACUAACAUGCCCAGGGCCCUGGGUUCUAUCCCCAGUGCCUCAA
This 74-nucleotide transfer RNA is filed under the name Fukomys damarensis (Damara mole-rat). It matches the Rfam family "tRNA". From Rfam's summary of the family: Transfer RNA (tRNA) molecules are approximately 80 nucleotides in length. Their secondary structure includes four short double-helical elements and three loops (D, anti-codon, and T loops). Lineage: Eukaryota; Metazoa; Chordata; Mammalia; Rodentia; Bathyergidae. The record is from Rfam by way of RNAcentral.